UUAAAGAAAGCGUAAUAGCUCACUGGUCGAGUCGGUCUGCGCGGAAGAUGUAACGGGGCUCAAACUGGAUACCGAAGCUGCGGCUGCAUACUAUGUAUGCGGGGUAGGGGAGCGUUGUGUAAGUCUGUGAAGGUGUGUUGAGAAGCAUGCUGGAGAUAUCACAAGUGCGAAUGCUGACGUGAGUAACGAUAAUGGGAGUGAAACUCCCACGCCGGAAGAC
RNAcentral lists this ribosomal RNA (220 nucleotides) under Paramoeba aestuarina. RNAcentral describes it as "partial Bacterial large subunit ribosomal RNA". It matches the Rfam family "Bacterial large subunit ribosomal RNA", at positions 1123 to 1345 of the family's 2925-position model. Lineage: Eukaryota; Discosea; Flabellinia; Dactylopodida; Paramoebidae. The record is from RNAcentral.